GACGAACGCUGGCGGCGUGCCUAAUACAUGCAAGUUGAGCGCUGAAGGUUGGUACUUGUACCAACUGGAUGAGCAGCGAACGGGUGAGUAACGCGUGGGGAAUCUGCCUUUGAGCGGGGGACAACAUUUGGAAACGAAUGCUAAUACCGCAUAAAAACUUUAAACACAAGUUUUAAGUUUGAAAGAUGCAAUUGCAUCACUCAAAGAUGAUCCCGCGUUGUAUUAGCUAGUUGGUGAGGUAAAGGCUCACCAAGGCGAUGAUACAUAGUCGACCUGAGAGGGUGAUCGGCCACAUUGGGACUGAGACACGGCCCAAACUCCUACGGGAGGCAGCAGUAGGGAAUCUUCGGCAAUAGACGAAAGUCUGACCGAGCAACGCCGCGUGAGUGAAGAAGGUUUUCGGAUCGUAAAACUCUGUUGGUAGAGAAGAACGUUGGUGAGAGUGGAAAGCUCAUCAAGUGACGGUAACUACCCAGAAAGGGACGGCUAACUACGUG
Molecule: ribosomal RNA, 497 nt
Filed under: uncultured bacterium
Lineage: Bacteria
Description: partial 16S ribosomal RNA
Rfam family: Bacterial small subunit ribosomal RNA
Source: RNAcentral